ACUGGCUGUACCUUGACGGUACCUUAUUAAAAAGCCACGGCUAACUACGUGCCAGCAGCCGCGGUAAUACGUAGGUGGCAAGCGUUGUCCGGAAUUAUUGGGCGUAAAGCGCGCGCAGGCGGUCCUUUAAGUCUGAUGUGAAAGCCCACGGCUCAACCGUGGAGGGUCAUUGGAAACUGGGGGACUUGAGUGCAGAAGAGGAAAGUGGAAUUCCAAGUGUAGCGGUGAAAUGCGUAGAGAUUUGGAGGAACACCAGUGGCGAAGGCGACUUUCUGGUCUGUAACUGACGCUGAGGCGCGAAAGCGUGGGGAGCAAACAGGAUUAGAUACCCUGGUAGUCC
This 340-nucleotide ribosomal RNA is filed under the name Lysinibacillus sp. RNAcentral's name for it is "bacterial SSU rRNA". It matches the Rfam family "Bacterial small subunit ribosomal RNA", at positions 457 to 796 of the family's 1533-position model. Lineage: Bacteria; Bacillati; Bacillota; Bacilli; Caryophanales; Bacillaceae. The record is from RNAcentral.